This 206-nucleotide long non-coding RNA is filed under the name Ananas comosus (pineapple). Its description in RNAcentral is "long non-coding RNA (ACOM_LNC003135)". The record is from RNAcentral. Lineage: Eukaryota; Viridiplantae; Streptophyta; Magnoliopsida; Poales; Bromeliaceae.
AUAUAUUUAAUUUACAAAUACAAAAUAAUUCUUUAUUCAUAUUUGUUUUCGUACGAACCAAAUAAGUAUAGUUGAAAACUAAUUUUUCGUUCUAUAAAUCAACAUUAAAGAGCAUAAAAAAAAACUUCCUUGAAAAUUUUUUUUUCCAUAUAAAAUUAUUUUCAGAAUUUUACGUAAAACCAAAUAGCCAUUUAAAUAAAAUCACG